Molecule: ribosomal RNA, 492 nt
Filed under: uncultured bacterium
Lineage: Bacteria
Description: partial 16S ribosomal RNA
Rfam family: Bacterial small subunit ribosomal RNA
Source: RNAcentral
AGUGAACGCUGGCGGUAGGCCUAACACAUGCAAGUCGAACGGCAGCACAGUAAGAGCUUGCUCUUACGGGUGGCGAGUGGCGGACGGGUGAGGAAUACAUCGGAAUCUACUUUUUCGUGGGGGAUAACGUAGGGAAACUAACGCUAAUACCGCUUACGACCUACGGGUGAAAGCAGGGGAUCUUCGGACCUUGCGCGAUUGAAUGAGCCGAUGUCGGAUUAGCUAGUUGGCGGGGUAAAGGCCCACCAAGGCGACGAUCCGUAGCUGGUCUGAGAGGAUGAUCAGCCACACUGGAACUGAGACACGGUCCAGACUCCUACGGGAGGCAGCAGUGGGGAAUAUUGGACAAUGGGCGCAAGCCUGAUCCAGCCAUACCGCGUGGGUGAAGAAGGCCUUCGGGUUGUAAAGCCCUUUUGUUGGGAAAGAAAAGCAGCAGGUUAAUACCCCGCUGUUCUGACGGUACCCAAAGAAUAAGCACCGGCUAACUUCGUG